GACGAACGCUGGCGGCGCWUCUAAUACUUGCAGUUCGAACGCACGAAGUUGAAAAGCUUGCUUUUCGACCAAGUGAGUGGCGGACGGGUGAGUAACACGUGGGUAACCUGCCCAUAAGAGGGGGAUAACAUUCGGAAACGGAUGCUAAUACCGCAUAUUUCAAGUGACCGCAUGGUCGCUUGAUGAAAGGUGGCUUCGGCUACCACUUAUGGAUGGACCCGCGGUGCAUUAGUUAGUUGGUGAGGUAAUGGCUCACCAAGACCAUGAUGCAUAGCCGACCUGAGAGGGUGAUCGGCCACACUGGGACUGAGACACGGCCCAGACUCCUACGGGAGGCAGCAGUAGGGAAUCUUCCGCAAUGGACGAAAGUCUGACGGAGCAAUGCCGCGUGAGUGAAGAAGGUUUUCGGAUCGUAAAACUCUGUUGUUAGAGAAGAACAAGGAUGAGAGUAACUGCUCAUCCCCUGACGGUAUCUAACCAGAAAGCCACGGCUAACUACGUGCCAGCAGCCGCGGUAAUACGUAGGUGGCAAGCGUUGUCCGGAUUUAUUGGGCGUAAAGCGAGCGCAGGCGGUUCUUUAAGUCUGAUGUGAAAGCCCCCGGCUCAACCGGGGAGGGUCAUUGGAAACUGGAGAACUUGAGUGCAGAAGAGGAGAGUGGAAUUCCAUGUGUAGCGGUGAAAUGCGUAGAUAUAUGGAGGAACACCAGUGGCGAAGGCGACUCUCUGGUCUGUAACUGACGCUGAGGCUCGAAAGCGUGGGGAGCAAACAGGAU
This 773-nucleotide ribosomal RNA is filed under the name Carnobacterium divergens. Its description in RNAcentral is "bacterial SSU rRNA". It matches the Rfam family "Bacterial small subunit ribosomal RNA", at positions 28 to 778 of the family's 1533-position model. Lineage: Bacteria; Bacillati; Bacillota; Bacilli; Lactobacillales; Carnobacteriaceae. The record is from RNAcentral.